RNAcentral lists this unclassified non-coding RNA (353 nucleotides) under Hevea brasiliensis (rubber tree). The record is from RNAcentral. Lineage: Eukaryota; Viridiplantae; Streptophyta; Magnoliopsida; Malpighiales; Euphorbiaceae.
AAGGAAAAGCAUGAAUGGAGAAAGAGAAGUGAAAGACUGAUGUGCUUUUGUUUUUAACUUUCGUAUUUUUUUUAAUAAAAGAAAUGUGCUUUCCAAACAGAAAUUGAUUUCUAUUUUCCCCAAAUUAUAGAAACGGGCCAAAAAAAUUUCAAAUCCAUUUCCCUAAACAUUUUGGAAAUGCAAAAACCUUGCUUGAGUCACAUUUCUGCACUUCAUAGACUACCUUGAGGGCAUGAACUCAGGCUGGGAAAAUGAUCAGCUACAAAGGGUACAUGAUAUCAAUGGAAGUAUCCAAUCACAUUCACAUGCUUUCAAGGUAUAGUCAACUUAACUAAGCUUUAAUCCCAAACCAG